GUGAUACUGGAGUGAGUGUGCAGGUGAUUGUUAGAGAAUAACUAGUAUUGAACGUGACCAACAUAAGAAGUCACAUGGAUGUCUGCUCACUCGUUAGUGACUUUCUCGAUGCUGCAUGGUGUGACUGGUCCUUUGAUCUAAGAUGGUACUACUACUCGCAGUGAGGCUACUGGAGUUUGAUUGACACAUAAAUAUGAGUCUCAAUGAGCCCUUGUAGUCGAUGUUGGCAAUAGUUGGUCUACUGU
Molecule: long non-coding RNA, 245 nt
Filed under: Elaeis guineensis (African oil palm)
Lineage: Eukaryota; Viridiplantae; Streptophyta; Magnoliopsida; Arecales; Arecaceae
Description: long non-coding RNA (EGUI_LNC049913)
Source: RNAcentral